GCCGGUGUAGCUCAGCUGGUAGAGCAGUCGCUUCGUAAGCGAGAGGUCGGGGGUUCAAGUCCCUCCACCGGCACCA
Molecule: transfer RNA, 76 nt
Filed under: Pseudomonadota bacterium
Lineage: Bacteria; Pseudomonadati; Pseudomonadota
Also listed under: 2 other names
Description: tRNA-Thr
Rfam family: tRNA
About the family: Transfer RNA (tRNA) molecules are approximately 80 nucleotides in length.
Source: RNAcentral